UACGGAGGGUGCGAGCGUUGUCCGGAAUCACUGGGCGUAAAGGGCGCGUAGGCGGCCUGGUAAGUAGGGGGUGAAAUCCUGCGGCUUAACCGCAGGGCUGCCUUCUAAACUGUCAGGCUUGAGCACGGUAGAGGCAGAUGGAAUUCCCGGUGUAGCGGUGGAAUGCGUAGAUAUCGGGAGGAACACCAGUGGCGAAGGCGACUACCUGGCCUGUUCUUGACGCUGAGGCGCGAAAGCUAGGGGAGCAAACGGG
This 253-nucleotide ribosomal RNA is filed under the name uncultured bacterium. RNAcentral describes it as "partial 16S ribosomal RNA". It matches the Rfam family "Bacterial small subunit ribosomal RNA", at positions 524 to 776 of the family's 1533-position model. The record is from RNAcentral.